UGUGUGCAGUUGUGUUGUGUUCUGUUGUCACUAUCACUGUUGUUACGACCCCCAAUAUGCCUAGGGGUAUAAAGGGUGUAACACUGAGAAUACAUUAUUAUUGUGGAAACUGGGUACAUAAAAGACCAAGACAACAGAGCUAUAUUCCCAAACAAAGUGGUUAAUUUUUAUACAAAUGGUAGAUGCCGUGAAUAUGUGCAACAGGUGAAAAUUUGAAGUAUUUACAGUACUGAUAGAAAAAACAGGUGGGGGAAAGGGGACGUAAGCAGUGCCAAAUCAAAGAACAAAACAAAACAAAAAACACGCGCUAACUUUAUCCCAGUCCCCCUAGACUGACUAACAAAAGAAAAUGUAAAACUUAAUACCAAUCGUCAGCGUCAAGACACCCUUAUUAAUCUGCUCUGCCUAACACAAACACAAAACUUUAACUAGUGUUUCUAAAACAAACGAUGUAACUACAUGUGCACCAUGUAGGUCAUGUGACAUACUUACUUGUCCUCUUUGACCCGUGUUAACACACACGAACAACAACGAUUUGACAAAAUGCGGAAACAUCAGGACAGCACAAUUACACACAGCGGCCGUUUUAUUAUUUAUAAUUAGAGCAGAUAACACACAAUAGCGUGGUUGAAAAUGGAGCCAACAACAGACUGGCAACAUUUCGUUUUGGAUGGGUUUUUAAACAGUCGGCGGAUUGGCGGAGGUAGGGUAAUGACGUCAGACCGGUAACAAUGAUUAACGCUUCGAUGAUCCAAUGGCGAGUGUCUGUGAGCAUGAUAGGAGGAGACGGGAGAGAGAGAGAGAGAGAGACUACACAACAACAAACCAAAACACAGACAAGUGUACAGGAUGUAACAGCUGUGGAGGACCUGUUUUUAGAUAAACACAACGAGUUUUUGCUUGAACGCCCCAAUGCCGCGAUGAGGGUGCGUGAACUGUUGCUCUCGUGUCCUAUCAUGAACACACACAGGAGAUCAACAGCUGACUGUACAUUAUCAUCAGUGACACAUUCUCCUCAAACCCUCACUAAGAUUCAAUAUCAAGAGGAAAGAGUACAGCGAACUGAAGAACACGCAAGUCUCACCUACUGCUUCUAGUUCAUCCGUCAUGCUGACAAGUUCUGAUGUUUCAUACAGAAGACAGAAGUACUAUAGAUACAAGUGGUGAACCUGAGCAAGCACUAACUGUCUGUCGGUCUGUCUCGGGUAUCUUUUGUGGCCAGGCUUUCAGCUGAAGGGGUGUAGUUAAAGCGAUUGGGGGAAGGCUGAGGACUAUCUAACCCCUCUGUGUUCUCUAGUCAACAGGAAGUCAAGAGGUAUACAUCUGUCACAGGCUUGAUAAAACCCUCUAAUGCAAAACCCCCUGCCCCAAAAACUGCCCCAAAGCAAACUCGCCCUUCACUGCGGCAUGAAACACUAUGACUAUUGACUAUGCAGAAUGCGGUCUAUGAAUAUUGCCUUUUGAACUACUAAAUUACAAGGUUACAUAAAAAAAUUACAGUUUUUGACCAAUUAAUUAAAAUUGUAUUUCCACAACUUUUCUAGGUGUUAAAGAUUGCUGGAUGAUGUUUUUUUUACAAAUAUCAUGAAUUCUGAGUCAUAAAUAUCAAUACAUUUAGUAAGGGUUGCUCUAUUUGAUCUGAAUUAAAUGAAUGGUAUUUUUAAAAACUAAAGAGGUCCUCUUUGAUUUAUAGGUUUGUUUGUUUUUUUGCUAAGUGCUAUCUGCAUGUUGGUUACACCACCUGACUUUGUUUGGUGGACAAAUUGUUUUCAAUAUAAUAUUGUUUUACUUUAAUUCAGAGAAAAAAUCUCAAAAUGACUUUGAACUCAGAAAUAGAAAACAUGUUCAUCAUAUUAAAGCUGUUUUGUGUGAAUUGCAUUUUUUAUGUAUUUUUGAAUAACUUAAUAGAUCCGGGUUUAUGUCAUUGACCCGUACACAGAAAUGUAUUCUGCUCAUGUUUCAUCAGAAUCAGAAUGAGCUUUAUUGCCAAGUAUGCUUACACAUACAAGGAAUUUGUCUUGGUGACAGGAGCUUCCAGUGUACAAAAAUACAAAAACAAUACAGAGAUAAUAAUAAAUAGAAUAAAAAUAAAAAGUGAAUAGAAAAGUACUAGAAGUACUGUAGAAGUACUGAAAUAGAAGUACUGUAUAUAAAGAAAUACAUAAUAAGACAAAACAAUUAUAUAUAUAUAUAUAUAUAUAUA
Long non-coding RNA from Myxocyprinus asiaticus (Chinese sucker), 2203 nucleotides. RefSeq lists it as uncharacterized. The record is from RefSeq and is a predicted model, not a curated record. The transcript has 2 exons. Lineage: Eukaryota; Metazoa; Chordata; Actinopteri; Cypriniformes; Catostomidae.